AUGGCUGUCGUCAGCUCGUGUCGCGAGAUGUUCGGUUAAGUCCGGCUAACCGAGCGCAACCCUCGUCCGUAUGUUAUAUGUGUCAUACGAGACGUGCCGGUAAAAAGCCGGAGGAAGGUGAGGAUGAUGUCAAGGUCAGCAUGACCUUUAUAUCCAGGGCUACACACACGCUACAAUGGUCUGUACAAUGGGUAGCCAAGCCGCGAGGCGGAGCCAAUCCUGAAAGCAGGCCUACAGUUCAGAUUGCAGUCUGCAACUCGACUGCAUGAAGCCGGAGUUGCUAGUAACCGCAGGUCAGCAAUACUGCGGUGAAUACGUUCCCGGGUCUU
RNAcentral lists this ribosomal RNA (329 nucleotides) under uncultured Anaerolineaceae bacterium. RNAcentral describes it as "bacterial SSU rRNA". It matches the Rfam family "Bacterial small subunit ribosomal RNA", at positions 1045 to 1382 of the family's 1533-position model. Lineage: Bacteria; Bacillati; Chloroflexota; Anaerolineae; Anaerolineales; Anaerolineaceae. The record is from RNAcentral.